GUGUCAUCAGCCGCGGUAAUACGUAGGGGGCAAGCGUUAUCCGGAUUUACUGGGUGUAAAGGGAGCGUAGACGGCACUGCAAGUCUGGAGUGAAAGCCCGGGGCUCAACCCCGGGACUGCUUUGGAAACUGUGGUGCUGGAGUGCAGGAGAGGUAAGUGGAAUUCCUAGUGUAGCGGUGAAAUGCGUAGAUAUUAGGAGGAACACCAGUGGCGAAGGCGGUUUACUGGACUGUAACUGACGUUGAGGCUCG
RNAcentral lists this ribosomal RNA (251 nucleotides) under uncultured bacterium. RNAcentral's name for it is "partial 16S rRNA". It matches the Rfam family "Bacterial small subunit ribosomal RNA", at positions 505 to 755 of the family's 1533-position model. The record is from RNAcentral.